CAGCAGCCACGGGAAUACAGAGGGUGCGAGCGUUAAUCGGAUUUACUGGGCGUAAAGCGUGCGUAGGCGGCUUCUUAAGUCGGAUGUGAAAUCCCUGAGCUUAACUUAGGAAUUGCAUUCGAUACUGGGAAGCUAGAGUAUGGUAGAGGGUGGUGGAAUUUCCUGUGUAGCGGUGAAAUGCGUAGAUAUAGGAAGGAACACCAGUGGCGAAGGCGACCACCUGGACUGAUACUGACACUGAGGUGCGAAAGCGUGGGGAGCAAACAGGAUUAGAUACCCCGUAGUCCCUGUCUCUUAUACA
Molecule: ribosomal RNA, 301 nt
Filed under: uncultured bacterium
Lineage: Bacteria
Description: partial 16S ribosomal RNA
Rfam family: Bacterial small subunit ribosomal RNA
Source: RNAcentral